UGGGGAAUAUUGCACAAUGGGGGAAACCCUGAUGCAGCGACGCCGCGUGAGUGAUGAAGGCCUUCGGGUCGUAAAGCUCUGUCGUAUGGGACUAACAAAAUGAAGGUACCAUGCAAGAAAGGAUCGGCUAACUUCGUGCCAGCAGCCGCGGUAAGACGAGGGAUCCUAGCGUUGUUCGGAAUUAUUGGGCGUAAAGCGGGUGUAGGCGGACUUAUAAGUCAGGUGUGAAAUCCCAGGGCUCAACCCUGGAAGUGCACUUGAUACUGCAAGUCUUGAGUGUGGUAGAGGCUAUUAGAAUUCCUGGUGUAGUGGUGAAAUACGUAGAUAUCAGGAGGAAUACCGGAGGCGAAGGCGGAUAGCUGGGCCAACACUGACGCUGAGACCCGAAAGCGUGGGGAUCAAACAGGAUUAGAUACCCACGUAGUCCCUGAGCGGGCUGGCAAGGCGCAU
This 450-nucleotide ribosomal RNA is filed under the name uncultured bacterium. RNAcentral describes it as "bacterial SSU rRNA". It matches the Rfam family "Bacterial small subunit ribosomal RNA", at positions 355 to 825 of the family's 1533-position model. The record is from RNAcentral.